AUCGCUUUGCUGCUGUCAACAUCCUCCUCCUCCUGCCUGCUAAACGGCGUCGAAGGUGACCGCAUUCGUCACAAGAAGGGCCUACGUCAGGGUGAUCCGCUGUCCCCCCUCCUCUUCAUCCUCACAAUUGACCCGCUUCAGAGGUUGUUCGAGGCUGCGGCAGUUGCUGAUGAGCUGCAGCCGCUCCUUGUCCGUGGUGCUCGACUGCGUGUCAGUCUAUACGCCGAUGAUGCGGUGGUCUUCGCCAACCCGCAGCGUGAAGAGGUCGACAAGAUCCUAAGGCUGCUUUAG
This 291-nucleotide ribosomal RNA is filed under the name Triticum aestivum (bread wheat). RNAcentral's name for it is "partial small subunit ribosomal RNA". Lineage: Eukaryota; Viridiplantae; Streptophyta; Magnoliopsida; Poales; Poaceae. The record is from RNAcentral.